CACGGCCUAGGCAGGCCCCAAUGGGACUGUCCGACGACGAACGGCGACGUCGAGGCCGAGGCGGCGGCUUUCAGUCGCCAGGGGAGCACCCUGCCGGGCGGCGGCCUACCGCCGCAGCCUGCUUCGGCUUCAUGCCGCGCGCGAGAUGACCUUGCGCCCCAGGGGGAACAUGCUCCAAUUGCAGGAAUUCACCUCGGGGGGGAGGGGGGGUCGUGUGCCCCUCACGUUAUCAGUCGAGACCACCCUACGGCAGGCCGGCAGCCGGUACUGGACCCCCCAUUAUGUGCGCCCCAAUUGCAGUCCGUGCCAUGAAUUUCAUCUAAUCCCUGAAGAUCCCUCUAGGAAUAAAGUAACUCGAGAACACAAGGUAGUGCUGUUGUUGUUUUUGGUCAUAACUGUGUACCAACUGAUCUACUGCUGUUUCAAAAUGCAUUUGUUUUAGGCUGGGGACGCCCCAUUUUGUUGUUUAAGACACGAGGUUGAAAUUUCGAAGAAUCAGUCCAGCAAUGGUUUUGCAUACCCGAAUAAAAGUGUAAAAAGUGUAUGUUUGUAUUAAACAAUAUGCAUAACAAUCAAGCAUACUCAUAUGACUAUAUUAGCAAAUAUUUUCUUCUUGAUGAAGAUGCCUACCAGCAUUUAUCUCAGAAUUGAUUGAUGUCAAUGUAGUUCUACCUUUCUAGCGUGAUACUCAUAGCCAUAGUUGCGCUGCAUGACGAAACUUCUUCCUCACUUGGAUUUACAUGGAAGUAAGCUGGUUGCAUAGGCUUGGGUAAGCUCACAUCUUUAGUGUUUAGCAUUGUGACAACUCGCUCCAUAUCAGGUCGAUGCUCUGCACUUUCUUGGACACAUAAAAGUGCCACAUGAAUGCACCUUUCUAUCUCAAGAUGUCCAUUGCAUGAAGGAGAAUAAAUCAGCUCACCAAAUUUUUCAUCACUCCAAAGUUGCCAAGCCUGCCAAAGUAGCAUGUUUUGUGAAACAAGUAACAUUGGGGUCUACAUUUAGAAGCAAGUGGGUAUGCAUAUAUAAAAGUUCUGGAUGGUAUUAAGGUUACACUCACAUAUGAGAUGAGAUUAUACAGCUUUCCAUUGUAGUCAUAGAACUGGGCUGUCCUCUUUGAGCUUAUGAUUUCCAAUGUCAAUACGCCGAAGCUAAAAACAUCCGAUUUGAUGGAGCAAACCCCAUGAAAAGCAUAUUCAGGAGAUCCAUAUGUUCUUACUGUGUGCCCACUAUUCUGGUGGUAUUUGAUUCUUCCACAUUUGAGCAGAAUAUUCUGGCCAUCCCAAAAUCAGAUAUUUUUGGAUUCAUUUCACCAUCCAAGAGAAUGUUAUUUGCUUUCAAAUCUCUAUGGACAACACAUAAUCGUGAAUAAUUGUGAAGGUAAAGAAGCCCUUGAGCUAUUCCAUCAAUUAUUUGCAUACGUUUUGACCAGUUUAGUUGUGCUCCCUUCACAUUAUCUGCAAAAGGUGCAUAAUUAAUCAAAGCUGUUGACAUACUAUAAACAGCAUUACGCAUGUAGAAGCGUCGAGUCUUGCCAAAUAUGAAGCGGUCUAGACUUUUAUUUUCCAUGUAUUCGUAUACAAGCAUCUUUUCUUCUCCUUUAGUGCAGUAACCCAGCAGCUUAACGAGAUUUUUGUGUUGAAGCUUUGAUAUAAGCUGAAUUUCAUUUUGGAAUUCCAAUAAACCUUGUGGAGAACAUAUUUCUAGUCUCUUGACUGCUAUUUUAAUUCCACUGCUCAAUCGGCCCUGAGAUUGAUUGAAAGAGAAAAAGAAUAAGUUAUUUUUUCGUACCUCAAUAACUUGGUUUACUGGGAACUUAUAUCCAUUAUAUUUAGCCACAAAACAAAACUUAUGCACCAUUGCAUAAGAUAUCUCCACAAUAAUAUAGAAAGGGCAUUAUAUUUGUAUUAACAAUGCAUGUUUAAUUCAUUUUAGGGGUCCAUUUGCAAUGUAAGGACAUAAUACCUUGUAUACAGGACCAAAGCCACCUUGCCCCAAUUUGUUAUCAACUGAAAAGUUAUUUGUAGCUUCCUUUAUAUGCGAGUAAUCAUAUUGUGAAAAUCCCAAGUUGCUGCCUUCCAUCCUCCAUAAACUUAUUACACUUUGUAUUGCCAAAGACAUUUGUCGUAAUUUUAAUAUUGCAUGCUCUGGAAAACAAUUUCGAAAUUUUAUGCUGUCGAUAUUUGUAAGAGAGCAAUGACAAAUGGCACAAAUUUUGGUCUGCUGUUGUGUAAAUUCAUACCUCUCUGUUGCUGUGUUUUGACCCAUACAUGAAAAAACAGGCAAGAAAUGAAUACUACCAUUAAGAAUACUCCAAUUCCAACCAAGAUAUUAGCUGUGUUGCCUGUACAAGUGUACAUCGAUGCAUAAGACCAACGAGUUGUAAUUUGAGAAGACAACUAAAAGUGCACCUCUACGGCACAGGCAAUCAGUGUUUUAGCUAGGGACAUCAGGUUGGAUUUAAUCUGUAUGUGUUGUUUGGCAUGUACCUGGCACCAUUAUAAUUACCGCAGAAGAUCUGGCCAGCUAAUGUUGCUGGGCAAGAGAGGAAGAGGAAGAGGAAGAGGAAGAGGAAGAUAACAGUAGCGUUAUGAUUGGUAGCUAGCGUUCCAUUGUCUUUGUUCCAUCUAUAUUGCAGAAUUGCUCGUCAAGAAGUCUGAGGUGAGUGCCAAAUAUCAGGUAAAGGAAUUCAAAGGUCAAGCAUUGGUUCCAUUCAAUAGUUUGCGGAAAAUGAUUGCUAAGACUCAUUCUUUGCAUUAGUAAUUGAUAGAUGGUGAUAUGCCCAUAUUUUCCACUGAAGAUUGGUCCAGAGGCUGUUUCGUGGGUUGGAAAUCUGAGGUGAAGUAGUCGACUUGUCUACAUUCCCUUGUGAGCAGUGUGCCUGUCUACAUUCCAGAUGCUUUCAUAUUUCUUGAUUACGUCUUCAAUAAUUUCUCAUGCUGACAAAUAUGUCCUAGCUUGUGGAAAAAGUAAAGGAGGACUGAAAACAACCACAGAUAGAUUUAUGAUAUAUUUCUAAAAAAUGAUAUCUAUUGCGGCAAAUUGCAAUUCAUUGUCACAACAGAACUUGGCUAUGUGCUAGUGGUAGACAGUUUGGAACUGAAAUAUAAAUUUAAUUCAGUCUCAUACUGUUUACACAGGAUAAUAAGGAAAAUCUUGUUACAUAUGUAAAACCACUAGUCCAAUCAGCCAGGUUAACUGGUGAGAAACAGCAGAACACACUGGCUUGUACAAUUAAUUAACACAAGGAUGGCCAAGACCUGUAAGGCUAUAACUCAUACUUCACUAACAGUAUGACGACAUUCUACUAUCUGCCAUUUGUAGUAGUGAUACUCACAUCAUUUCUGCUACUCAAUACAGUGGCAUUCACUGACACAUCUAAUUUCGCAUAGGAGUAAGCUGGUUGCUUUGGUUCUGGCAAAGUGAUGCCAUCACUGCUAAGAAUUGCAACAACAUCAGCCAUUAUGGGACGAUCUAUUGUUUUUUCUUGAACACACAUCAAUGCCACGACAAGGUAUUUCAUCAGCUCUUCCGGUUCGUACUCAUCAUCAAAUGAUUGAUUGGUGAACUCAUUCCAUCUCCUACCUUUCCACAGUUGCCAGGCCUGAAAAGAAAACAAAAAAGAUAUUUACAUUCCCGGCAGCAUAUGAUGGUAUAUCUUUAUGCUGUUAGAUCUAGCUACAAACGUAAGGAACAAGAGAUAAAGGAAACUGCACUAUACUUUGUAGAAAUAAAGAAAGAAAGAAAUAAAGAAUGUAGAAUAUAACCACACUAGUAAUGGUAACUGAUAUGCUAGUAUAUAUGCAAUUUGUUAGAAACAGUAUUUGUUCCUCCUUUUUUUGUUGUUGAGGUAAUUACAGUAGGGGAGGCCCCUACUAACCACCAAUAUUACAGAUUGUUGGUUUUUAGCUGCUUACAUAUUCAAGGAGGUUGUAGAAUUCUCCAUUGUACUGAAAACCUGAGCUCCUCUUUCCGCUUAUAAUUUCAAGAAGCAGGACCCCGAAACUGAAAACAUCUGACUUGAUUGAGAGAAGGCCACCAGAUGCAUAUUCAGGAGCCAUGUAUCCACUAGAAAAAGGGUGAUAUGUGGGAAGUCAGAAAGCAAAUGCUUUGAUAGAAACAUUAGUAACAGAACUAGUUUAAUGCACUUACAAUGUGCCUACAAGUCUGCUUGCUGUUACUUGAGUGGCAUCUGAUGGAAAUAUCCUUGCCAUUCCAAAAUCAGAAAUCUUAGGGUUUAGUUGAGAAUCUAACAGAAUAUUGCUUGCUUUCAAGUCCCUAUGGAUUAUGCGUAGUCGUGAGUGAUUGUGAAGGUACAGAAGCCCUUGAGCUAUACCUUCAACUAUUUUAAUUCGUCUCUUCCAUUUGAGUGACGCUCCCCUGAUCGGAUCUACACGCAAUGUAACAAGACCAAGUGUUAGUUCUGCAUACAAGAACGAAUGCAAUUACGAAACUUGCAGUUUAGAUUAAGCACGUGCCGAAAAUGAAGUGAUCCAAGCUUUUGUUGGGCAGGUAUUCGUAGAUUAGCAUCUUCUCUUCUUCAUGGAUGCAACAGCCAAGCAGCCUAACAAGGUUUCUGUGCUGAAGUUUCGCUAUAACCUGGAUCUCAUUCUUGAACUCUAAUAGACCUUGUCGUGAUCGAGCAGACAGUCUUUUAAUUGCUAGAUCUUGUCCAUCAGGAAAUACUCCCUGCAAAAACUCAUCGCUCCAUGUUUAUAUGGAGCCAUCUAAAUUUCAUGAUAUUGGUGCAUGACCGUAAUAAUAGCAAGGAAAUACCUUGUAAACUGGGCCAAAUCCACCCUCUCCUAGUUUAUUUUCGGUUGAGAAGUUGUCUGUAGCAUCAGCAAUCUGAGAGAAAUCAUACAAUGAGAACUCUGAGCUAGUGUCUUCGAGCCUCCACAGCCUAAGUACUUCAUCAAUGUUCUUGGGCUCCUCCAUCGAGUUCAUUUUUCCUAAACACUUAGGAGCCAGAAAAACAACCGUGUACAGAGGACUGCGGAAGAGUAAACUGCUGCAAUGAUGAUGAACGCACGGUCUUUAUUUUGUCCUGAACAUGAUACAUGAAACGAUGAACGAUCAAUAAUGGGGUUUAACAAUUUCUCAAGAAUUUUGGAGCGCCAGGAUGCGCCUCAAAUUAAGCUGAAUUUUCGGAGGUUGCAGAAAUUACUCAUCUUGGUAACAAGCAUGGCAAUUGACAACAUUCAGUGACGUUGAAGAACUGCAGGUCCAUCUCGUACCGCAUGGUGCACCGCGCCCCGAAGACCGCCCCACCCAUCUUGCCGCCGCCGAUCUUCCUCCGCCUCUCGGCGACGACACCACCUAGGCAGGCCCGGCAGCGGUCGGGCGGCAUGUCCUGCGUGCACUGCGCCAGCCCGUACACCGCCCGGUCCGUGUCCGCCCACAACGACGGCCACGGCGCUUUGCCCACCGCCCACCUGUCCGGCCGCCUCGCCGCGGUGUCGGCGAGCGCUGUCAACAGCUCCGUGACCUGCUCGUCGAACCGCGCGGCCACGUCGUGCGGCACGGCGUCCGGGUUCGUGACGUCGGCCCAUUCCGGCGUGUUGCUGAAGUCGGCGAGGAAGUCCCUGCCGGAGAAGCGGAGCUGGUACAGCUCGGAGUAGACGGCCACGUCCCUGCGCAGCGUGCAGGAGGCGUCGCCGCUGGUGCUGCCGCCGUCGAUGGCGCCGAGGGCGUCCCGGAGGCGCCUGGCGCAGUCGGCGCCCGCGGAGUCCGCCCCGGCAGAGCGCGGCGCCGUAGACCCUGUCGGGGCCCUCCCCGGCAGCGCCUGUGGCCGAGUGCAGCCUCGCGGCGUCGCCGAUCAGCGCGUCGGCGAGCGUCCUCAGGUUGGACAUGUAUGUGCCGUUUCGCUUGUAGGUGGCAUCGCCGCAGAAGGACUGGUCGCCGGCCGACGGCGCCGGCGCGGUGGAGAGGAGGAUGAUCACCAGCGCCAGUAGAUUUGGCAUCAACAGUCGUUUUUCUUUGUUCAUUUGCAAAAUUAUGUAAAAUGUUGGCCACAGCACUAGUACUAGCUAGAGAAUUCCUAGCAGAGAUGAAAAAAGGUGAAAUUGAAACGUA
Molecule: long non-coding RNA, 6072 nt
Organism: Panicum virgatum (switchgrass)
Lineage: Eukaryota; Viridiplantae; Streptophyta; Magnoliopsida; Poales; Poaceae
Exons: 5
Source: RefSeq, a predicted model, not a curated record